Molecule: ribosomal RNA, 465 nt
Filed under: Vreelandella stevensii
Lineage: Bacteria; Pseudomonadati; Pseudomonadota; Gammaproteobacteria; Oceanospirillales; Halomonadaceae
Description: partial 16S ribosomal RNA
Rfam family: Bacterial small subunit ribosomal RNA
Source: RNAcentral
CCUACGGGGGGCUGCAGUGGGGAAUAUUGGACAAUGGGGGGAACCCUGAUCCAGCCAUGCCGCGUGUGUGAAGAAUGCCCUCGGGUUGUAAAGCACUUUCAGUGAGGAAGAACGCCUGGUGGUUAAUACCCAUCAGGAAAGACAUCACUCACAGAAGAAGCACCGGCUAACUCCGUGCCAGCAGCCGCGGUAAUACGGAGGGUGCGAGCGUUAAUCGGAAUUACUGGGCGUAAAGCGCGCGUAGGUGGCUUGAUAAGCCGGUUGUGAAAGCCCCGGGCUCAACCUGGGAACGGCAUCCGGAACUGUCGAGCUAGAGUGCAGGAGAGGAAGGUAGAAUUCCCGGUGUAGCGGUGAAAUGCGUAGAGAUCGGGAGGAAUACCAGUGGCGAAGGCGGCCUUCUGGACUGACACUGACACUGAGGUGCGAAAGCGUGGGUAGCACACAGGAUUAGAUACCCCUGUAGUC